Molecule: ribosomal RNA, 1372 nt
Filed under: uncultured bacterium
Lineage: Bacteria
Description: bacterial SSU rRNA
Rfam family: Bacterial small subunit ribosomal RNA
Source: RNAcentral
GAUGAACGCUGGCGGCGUGCCUAAUACAUGCAAGUCGAGCGAACGGACGAGAAGCUUGCUUCUCUGAUGUUAGCGGCGGACGGGUGAGUAACACGUGGAUAACCUACCUAUAAGACUGGGAUAACUUCGGGAAACCGGAGCUAGUACCGGAUAAUAUUUUGAACCGCAUGGUUCAAAAGUGAAAGACGGUCUUGCUGUCACUUAUAGAUGGAUCCGCGCUGCAUUAGCUAGUUGGUAAGGUAACGGCUUACCAAGGCAACGAUGCAUAGCCGACCUGAGAGGGUGAUCGGCCACACUGGAACUGAGACACGGUCCAGACUCCUACGGGAGGCAGCAGUAGGGAAUCUUCCGCAAUGGGCGAAAGCCUGACGGAGCAACGCCGCGUGAGUGAUGAAGGUCUUCGGAUCGUAAAACUCUGUUAUUAGGGAAGAACAUAUGUGUAAGUAACUGUGCACAUCUUGACGGUACCUAAUCAGAAAGCCACGGCUAACUACGUGCCAGCAGCCGCGGUAAUACGUAGGUGGCAAGCGUUAUCCGGAAUUAUUGGGCGUAAAGCGCGCGUAGGCGGUUUUUUAAGUCUGAUGUGAAAGCCCACGGCUCAACCGUGGAGGGUCAUUGGAAACUGGAAAACUUGAGUGCAGAAGAGGAAAGUGGAAUUCCAUGUGUAGCGGUGAAAUGCGCAGAGAUAUGGAGGAACACCAGUGGCGAAGGCGACUUUCUGGUCUGUAACUGACGCUGAUGUGCGAAAGCGUGGGGAUCAAACAGGAUUAGAUACCCUGGUAGUCCACGCCGUAAACGAUGAGUGCUAAGUGUUAGGGGGUUUCCGCCCCUUAGUGCUGCAGCUAACGCAUUAAGCACUCCGCCUGGGGAGUACGACCGCAAGGUUGAAACUCAAAGGAAUUGACGGGGACCCGCACAAGCGGUGGAGCAUGUGGUUUAAUUCGAAGCAACGCGAAGAACCUUACCAAAUCUUGACAUCCCUUGACAACUCUAGAGAUAGAGCCUUCCCCUUCGGGGGACAAAGUGACAGGUGGUGCAUGGUUGUCGUCAGCUCGUGUCGUGAGAUGUUGGGUUGAGUCCCGCAACGAGCGCAACCCUUAAGCUUAGUUGCCAUCAUUAAGUUGGGCACUCUAAGUUGACUGCCGGUGACAAACCGGAGGAAGGUGGGGAUGACGUCAAAUCAUCAUGCCCCUUAUGAUUUGGGCUACACACGUGCUACAAUGGACAAUACAAAGGGCAGCGAAACCGCGAGGUCAAGCAAAUCCCAUAAAGUUGUUCUCAGUUCGGAUUGUAGUCUGCAACUCGACUACAUGAAGCUGGAAUCGCUAGUAAUCGUAGAUCAGCAUGCUACGGUGAAUACGUUCCCGGGUCU